Long non-coding RNA from Daphnia magna, 226 nucleotides. RefSeq lists it as uncharacterized. The record is from RefSeq and is a predicted model, not a curated record. The transcript has 3 exons. Lineage: Eukaryota; Metazoa; Arthropoda; Branchiopoda; Diplostraca; Daphniidae.
CAUUUUUGCCUAGUAAGUUUCUGAUUUUGAAAGCUCUUAAUCUGGUACGCUAUUGGUGUCGUUUAUUGUGUGUGUCCACUUGAUUCUGCUCUGCAUUCAGUGUGUUAAUUAAUGCGUGAUCUCUAUUGAGUCACCCCUGGUAUUUCUGGUCAUAGCCCACUCCUAAUUGUGGACCCUGGGCACCAGUUGAAAGGUGUAAUAUAAUUGUAUUACUCGUUGGCCCUAG